Molecule: ribosomal RNA, 432 nt
Filed under: uncultured bacterium
Lineage: Bacteria
Description: partial 16S ribosomal RNA
Rfam family: Bacterial small subunit ribosomal RNA
Source: RNAcentral
AACGAACGCUGGCGGCAUGCCUAACACAUGCAAGUCGAACGAGACCUUCGGGUCUAGUGGCGCACGGGUGCGUAACGCGUGGGAACCUGCCCUUAGGUUCGGAAUAACUCCCCGAAAGGGGUGCUAAUACCGGAUAAUGUCUUCGGACCAAAGAUUUAUCGCCUUUGGAUGGGCCCGCGUUGGAUUAGCUAGUUGGUAGGGUAAAAGCCUACCAAGGCGACGAUCCAUAGCUGGUCUGAGAGGAUGAUCAGCCACACUGGGACUGAGACACGGCCCAGACCCCUACGGGGGGCAGCAGUGGGGAAUAUUGGAAAAUGGGGGAAAGCCUGAUCCAGCAAUGCCGGGGGAGUGAUGAAGGCCUUAGGGUUGUAAAGCUUUUUUACCCGGGAUGAUAAUGACAGUACCGGGAGAAUAAGCCCCGGCUAACUCCGU